AUCCAGUUGAUGAGUACCAAAUGGGACGAAACGCGCGUCCUCCAU
This is a non-coding RNA of Schistosoma haematobium, 45 nucleotides long. Lineage: Eukaryota; Metazoa; Platyhelminthes; Trematoda; Strigeidida; Schistosomatidae. The record is from Rfam.